GAACAACAACCCGGACCAUCUUUUUCGGCGAACACGGAAACGAAUCCAAAAGAGCAUUGUAAAGCGAUAACGACGAGAAGUGGAAGGGAGUUGGUUAGUGAGAGUAAAAAAAGAAAUGAGAGUGAAAAAAAAAGAGGAAGAAAAAAAAGAUGAGGAGAAAAAAAUAGAGGAUAGUAUUGAUGGUGAAGUUGGGGAGUGGAGUGAGGAAGAAGUUGAAAAGGACAAAAAAAAU
This 232-nucleotide long non-coding RNA is filed under the name Lathyrus oleraceus (garden pea). Its description in RNAcentral is "Pisum sativum (pea) long non-coding RNA (PSAT_LNC021611)". Lineage: Eukaryota; Viridiplantae; Streptophyta; Magnoliopsida; Fabales; Fabaceae. The record is from RNAcentral.